This 460-nucleotide ribosomal RNA is filed under the name uncultured bacterium. RNAcentral's name for it is "partial 16S ribosomal RNA". It matches the Rfam family "Bacterial small subunit ribosomal RNA", at positions 338 to 795 of the family's 1533-position model. The record is from RNAcentral.
CCUACGGGAGGCAGCAGUGAGGAAUAUUGGUCAAUGGACGAGAGUCUGAACCAGCCAAGUAGCGUGAAGGAUGACUGCCCUAUGGGUUGUAAACUUCUUUUAUAUGGGAAUAAAAUGUUCCACGUGUGGGAUUUUGUAUGUACCAUAUGAAUAAGGAUCGGCUAACUCAGUGCCAGCAGCCGCGGUAAUACGGAGGAUCCGAGCGUUAUCCGGAUUUAUUGGGUUUAAAGGGAGCGUAGGUGGAUUGUUAAGUCAGUUGUGAAAGUUUGCGGCUCAACCGUAAAAUUGCAGUUGAAACUGGCAGUCGUGAGUACAGUAGAGGUGGGCGGAAUUCGUGGUGUAGCGGUGAAAUGCUUAGAUAUCACGAAGAACUCCGAUUGCGAAGGCAGCUCACUGGACUGCAACUGACACUGAGGCUCGAAAGUGUGGGUAUCAAACAGGAUUAGAUACCCUAGUAGUC